AUGGAAUGCGGCGGUGUCCAGAUCAUCUCCAGGCGCAUGGUCAAGCCGGAGUAUCAAAAGAGCUCAGAGUCGCCGGAGCCUCAGACCAUCCACCUGACGCCAUGGGACCUGUGGCGGAUCACCGUGGGCUACAGCCAGGAAGGAGUCCUCCUGCCCAAGCCUCCGGCCAGCGCCGUCCAACACCUCGCGUCGUCCUUCGCACGCGCCUUGGGCCGCUUCUACCCCCUUGCCGGCCGCUUCGCCGUUGCGCCGGCGGCCAGUGCCGGUGCUCCGCAGGGUCUGACGAUCUCCCUCCGCUGCGGGGACGAAGGCGCCGAGUUCAUCCACGCCGUGGCGCCCGGGGUCAACGUAUCCGACAUCUCCGGCCCGCUCCGGGUCAUCCCGCGCGUUGUCUCCUCUUUCUUCCCUCUCAACGGGAUGCUAAGCACGGACGCGGCCGUCGACCCCAGCCGGCCGCUCCUGGCCGUGCAGGUCACUGAGCUCGCCGACGGCGUCUUCGUCGCCAUGUCGCUCAGCCACGCGGCCGCGGACGGCACGACACUGUGGGACCUCUUCAACACAUGGUCGGAGAUGAGCCGAAGCGGUGACGGCAACAUAUUCACAGCGGCGCCAUUGCCUCCAUUCGGGAGGUGGUUCCACGACGGCUGUCCCGUGGCGAUCCCUCUGCCCUUUGCCAAGGUGCAGGACAUGGCGAGGAGGUUCGAUUGCCCGCCGGUGCAGGAAUGCUCGAUCCAUUUCUCCCCGGAGAGCAUAAAGAAGCUCAAGGCUAAAGCGAAUGCCGAGAUGGCCGGCACGGCCACGGCCACCACCUCCUCGUUGCAGGCCCUGCUGGCGCACCUAUGGCGAGCGGUGUGUCGAGCCCGGGGGCUGGCGCCGGACCGGGAGACGAGGCUCGUCCUCCCCGUGGGAUGCAGGACACGGGUGAAGGGCAUUUCACAGGGUUACGUGGGCAACGCGAUUUCAGGAGCGGCUGCUAGGCAGCCAGUCGGCGAGGUCCGGGACGGCCGGCUGGGCUGGACGGCCUGGCUACUGAACCGUGCUGUGGCUUCGGUCGACGAGGCGACGGUGACAGAGGAGCUCGUGGCUUGGUCUAAAAACCCCAGCUUAAGAUACGCGCCUGACUUAGGUGGGGAUCCUGCCAUUGUGGUAGUGAGCGGCUCGCCGCGGUUUGAUGUGUAUGGCAAUGAUUUUGGCUGGGGCAGGCCGCUGGGCGUCCGGACCGGCCCGGGGAACAAGCUGGACGGGUUGAUCACGGUUUUCGAGGACGGCGGAGGGGCAGGGGGCAUGGAACUGGAGGUGUGCCUCGCUCCUCAUGCUCUCGCCAGCCUCGUCGCCGACCAAGAGCUGAUGAACCCGUCGGUCUAG
This 1365-nucleotide ribosomal RNA is filed under the name Triticum aestivum (bread wheat). RNAcentral's name for it is "partial small subunit ribosomal RNA". The record is from RNAcentral. Lineage: Eukaryota; Viridiplantae; Streptophyta; Magnoliopsida; Poales; Poaceae.